This 253-nucleotide ribosomal RNA is filed under the name uncultured bacterium. RNAcentral describes it as "partial 16S ribosomal RNA". It matches the Rfam family "Bacterial small subunit ribosomal RNA", at positions 524 to 776 of the family's 1533-position model. The record is from RNAcentral.
UACGUAGGGGGCAAGCGUUGUCCGGAUUCAUUGGGCGUAAAGAGCGUGUAGGCGGCCAGGCAGGUCCGCUGUGAAAACUCGAGGCUCAACCUCGAGAUGUCGGUGGAAACCGUCUGGCUAGAGUCCGGAAGAGGAGAGUGGAAUUCCCGGUGUAGCGGUGAAAUGCGCAGAUAUCAGGAGGAACACCGGUGGCGAAGGCGGAUCUCUGGGCCUUACCUGACGCUGAGGAGCGAAAGCAUGGGGAGCAAACAGG